This is a non-coding RNA of Hemibagrus wyckioides, 560 nucleotides long. Lineage: Eukaryota; Metazoa; Chordata; Actinopteri; Siluriformes; Bagridae. The record is from the annotation of a RefSeq genome assembly.
CUUUACUCUGACAUUCUAGCAGCAGUUUUAGACUCAGAAAAACAGUCAAGAUGAUCACUGUUCUUCUGACUUUUACUGCAUCAUUCAUCUGCCAUAUAGGAAGGUCUUCUGCAGAUAACAAUGUUAAUCAGUCUCCUCCUGAUUUAAUUAAGAAUAUAAAGGAAUCUACAAAUCUUUCCUGUUCUAACUCCAGACCUAACCAUCAGUACAUGCUGUGGUACAAACGAUCUGAAAACACACAGUUACAGCUUCUUGGAUAUCUCAAUGCAAAGUUUUCUUAUCCUGAAGAUUCCCUGAAAACUAAAAUUGAGCUGCAUGGAGAUGGAAACAGUCAUGGGAUACUUACCAUUAAAAAUCUGCAGCCAGAUGACAGUGCAGUUUAUUUCUGUGCAGUGAAAUUAGACACAGUGCUACAGGACUCUGUGAUCUAUGACAAAAACCUCCUCCUUCAGAGCAGCACAAAUCUUCCACCUGCUGUAGUCUUCAAAGUACAUGUAACAGUUGCCACCAUUAAACUACACUACAGACCUCACCACUGGCUCUGUAAUUUCAUUUUUUGA